UGACUGUUUGUUGAUGCAAUGUGUUGUUUAAAGUGGGGUGUUGUAUUAAGCAAUUUAUGCAUUUCUUGCCUGCCUUUUUUCAUGUACAUUUCUAUUUCCCUUGUUUUAGGAUGGGUUCCCUUUCUUGGUAAGUACCAUUUUCACGUGUAACGUUCACGUACCUUCCUCUAUUCAUUUUUUGCAUGCGCGGGAGCACGUAUUUUAUAUUAUGCUGUUUUUGGCUUUGCAUAGGUAUAAGUAUAGGGCAUGCAUGUGUGUGCACGGACCCCUGCGAUUUCAACGAGAAUAGCCAGUUUCUGCAGUAGAGGAAUCACCCUAAUGGUAAAUAUGUGAAUGAGAAGCAACUGCAAACUCCUUUGUCUGACGGCGCUGUUGAGUCUCUUUCCACAUUUCUCUCUCUGCAAGUAUGUUAAGGAAGGGACUGGAAUCCUCCUUUGAUGAAGUAACCAAUUACAUGCUCUCAUAUUUUAAGACAAGGACUAUAAUACAUCGUUGAUGGAAAAACAACAACGGAAAUAUACUGGCGGACUCUGAACUGCAAAAAACGCUGACCGAAUAGGGAGGGGGUUGUAAGGAGCUGUCCAAGCGGUGGUGGUGCUGAAAAUAUGUUUUGAGGCACAGGGAAAUAGGAGGGGAUGGGUUAUCGUGUAGUGUCCUGCAACAAAAUCACGAUUAUCAGGAGAGCAACAAAUAGAUAAAUUAUAGAAUAGAUUGAUAGAAAUGAACAAUGUCUGCUUGUCUGAUGGAAACUAGAGGAGCUAUGGACGACAGCGAGUGUUUGAAACUCGCAAUUAAGUGACAUACGUCGGAAAAGCUCAAGUUGGCUGCUAGUGCAUACAGCAGUUUGCUGAUCUUCCCGCCUGCGAUGUUUGAACUGUAUUAUCAGAUGAUGUGCAGGAAAACAGAGAAGCUAUAGGCGGGCUGACUUCCAUUACUCUUCCGCCCACGUCAUGUAUGUCUUUAGUGCACCAUACUUAGACGAAAUCAUCUUCUACUGGGUGCUCGUCUAAUAGUUUCCACGCACGCCACUCGUGAAGCCUUGAAAGAUAAAUGUGUUUGUCUAUCGUGGAUUCUUCCCUGCAAAAAACCGAUAGAGUCUAAAAGCUUUAAAUGUAAAGCGGUAUCGUAGGCAUCGCCACGCAAAUAGUAAAAUAGAUUAACUCUAUUCUUAAAACGAUCAGAAUGUGAUCAUUAUGUUCUCCAAAAGAAACAGCAGUACCCAUUCAUUUUAACUUUGCGUAGCACUAAUAAGGCGUAAAGAUCUCUAAUCUCAGCCGUACAGUUCGUCAAUGAUUUUAUCCUCACUCACUAGCUAGACAGUCAACGACUGAGCAUCGCUAACAGCUCUGUGCAUUAAUAACUCCCCAGUACCUUCUAAAGUCAGUCCUCUUCUGAAUAAUUCCCAUGAUAUCCAGACAGAAUGAGCUUUUAGGGAAAAAGUUUGUCUGUCUCUGAUCCAAAUAGAUCAUAAAUACAUGGUUUGCUUUGUGAUGUAUGGCCAUGUCCUGUGAGAAGAAACUACAGAGAUCAACUUCUUAAAUCCACUCGUUUUUGUCUAAUGAUCAUAACCUAGACAGAGGUGAUAUCGUCUUAAAUAAUUCAAUGCUGGCGGUGUCAUUUUAGUGGAAACAACACGGCUUCUGGAGUCGUGACUGCUAAAGUGAGUAAUAUGCGCGCGUUGGCUGCGUCAGGAGAGGCAGUCACUGUGCAGUGCAGACGGAGGGGGGGAAUCGUGACUGACUGGAGACGUCCGCAAAUGAAAAGACUAAAUAAAACUCUCAUCAGGAUAUCAUACGGGGCCGAAUUUUUCACAUGUUCAUGCCUGGCCUGAAUUCCUCUCCAUGUCCACUCCACUGCCCCUGCACCAACAAAGAGAGGAGGGGAUUUCUCAUUUUUCAUGGGGCGGUUGAGGGGAGUCUUAGUUCGGGAUGAAAUCAGACACAGAAGGAGGGAGGGGGUUGAUCCAGAUAUAGAUCGUGACCCUCCCACUUGGUACAGUUACUUGUACACCAUGUCAAGAAUGGAAUGCCUGGGCAUGUUAUGGGGCGUUUUGAUAGAUCGACUGGUCAAUUCAAAGUUGGAACAGUGAGAAAAGGACGCCAAAAGUCUGAGAACAGCGUAUCUAUCUGGAGAAGGACUAGGAGCUGUCCGUAAAAACGGGUGUGCAACGGUUUCGCAUGUUCAGAAAGGUUCAGUGUCCAUGGGUGGGUAGCAGUGUAUCUCCACCCUGCCUCCCGUCCGUGUGUCCUUCCGCUGAGUUGUGAUGAGUCAGCGGAGGUGUGAGGUGUGACUCAGCAUCGGCGCUCCUCCCAUACCCAGGUGAGGGUCCCUGUGACGUCAGGUGAACAGGUACAGUCACUUCUCCACACCUUAGGUUCACAGAGCGUGCCGGGUGGGGGUGCGUCAGCGUUAGUUCCUGGCUGCAAAUAGCUUGAGAUCACACUUCGGUGGGCACAGAGGACAUAUGUAGAUGCACAUGGAACAUGUGUGGAGCAUAUGUUUAUUCAUGUGUGAGAGGUAGGCAUUCCAUGCCACAUUUCAUGGGAAAUAUCAACCAAAAGGAAUAUGGGUGGAUGAGCAUACACACACACACACACACACACACACACACACACACACACACACAAACACACACUCCCUGAUAUUUACAAAUUGCAAGGUUUAAAUAAUUUGUCAAUUUCGAACUAUGGAACUAGGAGUAGAUACAAGUCAGACAUAUUUUUAAUGCAUUGUAUUUUUUUUUCUUGAGGAACAGUAAUGACUUGAAUUGUAGUUUAUUUGAAACAGCAGGCAAAAGUAGUAUUUCUACUGCUGUCUUUCUGCUACUGCUGCUGACCAGUUGCUGGUUUUGUUUUGCAAUCAUGGAACAAAUUGUAUGUCUCUAUAAACAUUACAUUUGUUCCACCUUUACAAAUAUCCACUGCACAUCACAGAUACUCCCAACUUUUUUAUUUAACUAUACAGUGCUUUCUCUUGAUGGUCAUCUUGAGUAAUACCGUUCCAAAUUGUAUCAAACUGCAUGCAGUAUAAUAUAAUAAUGUGCAGCAACCCUAAAUAUGAACUUCAGUGGUUGACUUCAUUGAAAUAGUGCUGUAAACCAUUUCAAUGACACAAUACACAGCUAUCUGAAUUUAUUUUAGUAGAAUAAUUUUUAUUUUAGUAGAAUUCACUGAACAUAUUUACUGUAUGUUCAGUGAAUUCUACUAAAAUAAAUGCUUUCCAUCAGAUAAAGGCCAUUCAAUAACCUACAAGGCCCAAAUGGAAGAAGUAUGGUGAGUAGUAUACUUACAUAGACUACGUCUAGGCAGCAAUGGCUUUGAAUUAUUGACAGAAUUCUUUAUAUAUAGAUUUUAAUCUGGUAUCACAGAUUAAGUCAAUUUCGGUUGAACGUUGUGCUUGACUUGAUCUGUUCAUUGAUAUGUUGGCUAAUCCCUACCAGGUUAAGUAUUUCAUUAUGGCUGAAAUAAUAUUAAUCAGGAAGGUUACAGUGCUUAUUUUUUAUUGUUUUCACAGUACUUUAAAUACUUUGCAUUUUAAUCAAGGGAAACACGAGACGUAUGAGCUGUUUCGAAGACAACACAGAAACUACUUCCAGAUAAAAUGUAGCUGAGGCGUACAUUUUCUAUUCACAUUAAUUUAAUAUUUUUGUUCAGAUAGCUUGAAGGCACACUUUACAGGAGUGUCCUGAAACUUUUGAUAAAUAAUUGUAAUUUCAGUCUUGUGAAAUUGAUCGCUUAUGAUAUGGUGAUCAGUCUUAGUUAACUGCUUUUGAAUUCAAUCUAAAAAAUUGUAAAUAAUCAGAAUCUAUAUGGAAAGCCACAAACCGUUUUCCCAGUCCACAGAUGUAUCUUCAGUGAUGAUAUGCAAAUUUGGCCACUUCGACACAAUAUAAAGACUUCAGGACAAUAUUUAGGCAGAUAUGGAAAUUAACAUAUAAGAUCCAUUUGUUUUUAUGAGUGACCUUAUGAAAUCCAGGGUGUAAUGGUGAAAAACAUAGACAUCUGUUUGAAAGUCUGAGCAUAAAGAGAGAGAGAGAGAGAGAGAGAAAGAGAUAUAGAGAGAUGGAUAAACAGACAGACAGACACUCCCACAUCAGUUGGCAGCAGACAGAGGGUUGAGAGUUGGGUGACGCAUUGACUCUGUGUGCCCAAAACUCAGACUUAAAAAACAAAGGACCGUGUGUAUUUAUAGAUGGUCACAGGUAAAUUGAAGCUGUAAACAGUUUUAAUGGACGGCCGGCAAAGGAGACGGGGGACUCUGAA
This is a long non-coding RNA of Clupea harengus (Atlantic herring), 4262 nucleotides long. RefSeq lists it as uncharacterized. Lineage: Eukaryota; Metazoa; Chordata; Actinopteri; Clupeiformes; Clupeidae. The record is from RefSeq and is a predicted model, not a curated record. The transcript has 3 exons.